RNAcentral lists this ribosomal RNA (119 nucleotides) under Pteropus alecto (black flying fox). The record is from RNAcentral. Lineage: Eukaryota; Metazoa; Chordata; Mammalia; Chiroptera; Pteropodidae.
AUCUCCGACCAUGCCACCCUGCACAAGCCCCAUCCCAUCUGAUCUCGGAAGCUAAACAGAGUUGGGCCUGGUUAGUACUUCGAUAGGAGACCACCAAAGAAGACCAGAUGCUGUAGGCG